Gasterosteus aculeatus aculeatus (three-spined stickleback) is the source of this 726-nucleotide long non-coding RNA. Lineage: Eukaryota; Metazoa; Chordata; Actinopteri; Perciformes; Gasterosteidae. The record is from Ensembl.
GGAUCCCUAGCGGCGCGGCAGUCACCCGGAGGCCCGUCCACAAUCCGCACUUUCUCCUACGUGCUGGUAUACGAGCCCCGGAGCCGUUGAAAGACUGAUUAGCCCUGUUUGACAUGCUAGCUAACGUUAGCUAAAAUUAGCUCGUGUUCGCUUAAACAGCGGUUUGAUUUUUGUAGUAUGCAGUUCGGGACUACAAACACAAAAAUGUGUUAGACUUGGGUCCAACACAUUCAGCCAGUUGGAACAGAAGAACACACCAGAAUAGGCCUGUUUGGUCGCUGUGACUGGCGGAUCGGUCGUCAGUGGGGCGGAGGACGAGGGCCAAUCAGGAGACGGAGACGCUGCUUAAGAGGGACGGCGGGCUCAUUCUCUGGGACCCCUCUCUCAGUAUUGCUGACGCUCAGGGCCGCCGAUUGUGGGCUGCUCUCCGGCACCCAGAUUGUUGUGCAUUUCAGACUGUUUUGGAUAAGUGUUUUCGUGUCGUGCCGAUGUUGUCAAUGCAGUCCUCCAUCCGCGGCAAUGGAAAACAAUCCGGUACCUUCACGCACCACAGUAUUAGAGCAUGAUAUUAACGUGGGGGAUGCUGUUCCGGUCAAGCAACAUGCGUACCGCAUGAACUCAGUGAAGAGAGAGCGUAUGCGGGGAGAGGUUGAGUAUUUGGUGGAGCAUGGAUUGGCUCAAGCCAGCUGCAGCCCCUGGAGCUCUCCAUGCCUCCUGAUACCGAAG